GACGAACCGUGCGAACGUUGUUCGGAUUCACUGGGCUUAAAGGGCGCGUAGGCGGGUUACCAAGUUAGGGGUGAAAUCUUUCGGCUCAACCGGAAAACGGCCCCUGAUACUGGUAGUCUUGAGGGAGGUAGGGGCAGGUGGAACUUCCGGUGGAGCGGUGAAAUGCGUAGAUAUCUGGAGGAACACCGGUGGCGAAGGCGGCAUCCUGGACCGAUACUGACGCUGAGGAGCGAAAGCCAGGGGAGCAAACGGG
Molecule: ribosomal RNA, 253 nt
Filed under: uncultured bacterium
Lineage: Bacteria
Description: partial 16S ribosomal RNA
Rfam family: Bacterial small subunit ribosomal RNA
Source: RNAcentral